CACGGGCAGUUGCUCAGCAAAUGCCCACCUCAAAAUAUUUUAUUUCAUUGCCACAUAAAUAAAAGGUCAUCUGGCUUAGAGAUGGACAGGCAGAAGGCAUCCCAGUCUACAUCACCUACAAGAGGAAGUAACAAGGUUCUCGCUGAUGAGUCAUUUAUGGGAUGUAUUCAGGCCUGACUUCUCAUCAUCCUUAUCACAGAACCUGACGGAUGUGCUAAUUACGUGCUAAUUAAAUGUUUAUUGAAUAGAUGAAAGAAAAUGUGAUCUUGCUAUUUUAAAGGCUUUCAUGUGUUCUGUUGUUAAAAUAGAAACAAAAAUUGAAAAAAAACACAUUUUACUCAAUUCAUAACAAACUGGUUUAAAAUAGAAACUGCAAACCAACUUUGGCUAAAAGAAUCCUGGUAUAUUCUGAACAGCUGCUGUUGUAGACACAGUCUGAAAUAACUAACUUCCA
This is a long non-coding RNA of Manis javanica (Malayan pangolin), 454 nucleotides long. RefSeq lists it as uncharacterized. Lineage: Eukaryota; Metazoa; Chordata; Mammalia; Pholidota; Manidae. The record is from RefSeq and is a predicted model, not a curated record.